Nicotiana attenuata is the source of this 1885-nucleotide long non-coding RNA. RefSeq lists it as uncharacterized. The record is from RefSeq and is a predicted model, not a curated record. The transcript is spliced from 4 exons. NCBI's taxonomy places the organism in Eukaryota, Viridiplantae, Streptophyta, Magnoliopsida, Solanales, Solanaceae.
CCCAAUAUUACGCGUGCGGCUAUUCUCCCCAAUUCUAAAAAACAGUCCGUAGAAAGUACCUUUUAGGAAUAAGCCAAAAAAUAAAUUAAAACCUAGUAUUCAAUCUUUUCCCAAUCUCAGGUCCAAGACGCAAAUACCUUCAUCUCUUUCUGCAAAUUCUUCCAACCUCCCAUUGAGUAUGACCAAUCAUCUUCCCUAUUUUAUUUAGACUUAAUACUCAAAAUUAUGCAUAUAUAAUCCAUCUGAUUGAGAAUAUUUAUUUUAUUUCUUUUUUGAUAUAUGAUGCAUUUGAUUUUAGUUGAUUAUGGCAGAGGGGACAAGAAGAUUGUCAAUGGCAAACACUUCAAUCACUCCUUUAGGAAUAUUAGUCAACGCUCGAGAAGAUCUGUGGUGGACGUGAAGUUGAGUUUGGCUUAGCAUAAGUGUCAUGUUUAAGUAAGAAAGUCUUAUCAUUUUACAACACAUUAUUUUGAAAACUUACUCUUGACAUUUAGCAUUUAUUUGUACAAUAUAGUUAAUACUUAAUUAUUAUUAUUAUAUAUUUACUUUUAGGAAUUCAAAUGUUCCUAAUCCAAGCUAAGUAAUAGUAAGUCAUGCUGCAAACGAAGAUUUUAUUAGCUACUCAAGUUGCAAUAGUAAGUUGUGCUGCAAGCUAAGAUUUUAUUAUUAUAUUUCCAUUCUCUUUAGCUGAAUAAUACUUUUUGCGGAGAUGCUACAUGGACAAUUCUUCUUUGUUCUUAUGAUUAUUCCGUUCAAAGCUUUCUGAAUCCUUUGCAUUAGCAUUUUUAUGCCCCUACUACAAUUGCAUUACAACCCUCCCACCCCCGAAUGACGCAAUUGUUCUUGUCAUUAUCAGAUGAUUGCUACAAGUUAACAUAAUAGUGGAUAAUGCAUUAUCAUAUAAUUGUUACAUAUUUCUGAAAAAUGUUGUUGUGAAUGCUGUUCAGUAUUGUUUCUCUUUGGCAGUCUGAAUUUUUAAAGCUUCAGAGAAACACCAGACGAUGCAUUUAAGGCAGUAUUUGAAAAGGAAUAUCCUGGUCGAGUUAGAUGCUAUGGUAGAUCGGUGACGACAAGCUCUCUGAAAAAAGACGAGGAAAUCAACAAGCUUAAACAGAAUCAUGCCAAUGAAAUUAUUUCUAUGAAGGAAUAAUUGAAAGAAAUGAGGAGAGAAGAAAAUGCAAUUUUUUUAGUCAAUUGAUACAAAACAAUUCUGGAUUUAAUAUUUAAAAUAUACCAGGGUGUGCCGGAUCUAACCUUCAUUCACCUGUUGAUGCAAGUAGUGCACGGAAUGUGAGAGCGCAAAAUCUUCCCCACUCUUCUGGCUCAAAUCAUGCGCUGAGUCUUGAAAAGAGAUCAAAUCUUUUCUAAAGGAUGUUCUGGGGACUGGAAAAGAUUAGCCUCGAGCAAAAGAAUACAAUUACAUGGGAUCUGCAAUGAAGAGUGUAAAGGCUUUGCCAUUUACAAGUCUCGGAAGGCAAAAGCUAUUGAAGAGAACAAAGAAAAUACAAAUGGGGAACUUAAGGUACAGAAACCUUCAGAAGUUUCUGCUCGUCUGAACAAGAAAAACUCACAUGCUGCAUAGAUAAAUGGGGAGAUCAAGCUUACAAAAUGAGUUACAUAAUCAAAAGAUGAUGUGAAGGGUGUAAAACCCACCAUGUAUCAGAAAAGAAACCUGUAGCUAAGGGCAACAAUGUUUUUUUUAGUAGAUGCUAGUUUCAAUUGUUUAAUGCGUUUAAAACAUUUUCAUGAUACAUACAUUCAAUUUGUUAAGUUCAUUGCUAGGACGCAAGGUUGAGCAAUUUGCUUUAUAGUUAAUGUAGUACAUGAUAUAUCUAUAUACUUUGGAAGGUCAUAGCAAGUGUACUCCUUUGAAUUUUUUUGGUUA